AUGAAUAUUUUUUGUUGGAACUUUCAUGGUGCGGGUAAAGCUGCGACAGUUCAGGAGCUUCGUAUUUCGCGACAAGUUGCCCCUACCCUCUUGUGUAUUCUCAAAACUCAGCUAGAAAGUACAAGGGUAGAAGCUUUAGCAAGCACGCUUGGUUUUGACAAUGCUUACGCUGUUAGUAGUCAAGGAAGAAGUGGCGGCAUAGGUCUGUUUUGGAACAAUUCAAUCAAAGUUGAAAUUCUUGGUAUUCUGUUUAUCAUCUUGAUGUUUCUAUUGAAGAACAUGACAUAG
RNAcentral lists this ribosomal RNA (288 nucleotides) under Triticum aestivum (bread wheat). RNAcentral describes it as "partial small subunit ribosomal RNA". Lineage: Eukaryota; Viridiplantae; Streptophyta; Magnoliopsida; Poales; Poaceae. The record is from RNAcentral.